UUCUGCUUAAGCCGGUGCUAGGGGGCGUGGACGGUAACUUGCACUUUCCAGUACCGUCCAUGAACAGGCUCAAUCAAACCGAGCCUGCAACAUUUUCAAUUUUGUUGUGUUAGAAUUUCUUUAGGGAUUCUGUUUUUCUCUAUUUUAGAGAGACAAGAGUUUAGAGACCCGUAUCCGUCGAGCGCGGAAAAAAGGAGAGUUGCGGAUCAACAGAAACGACUUGAUUCGUCAAGUUUAAGGUCAUCUUCCCGUUCCAGGAGAUCCGCCCGUUCCAGGAGAUUCUCCCGUUCCAACAGAUCCAGGAGAGAAAGAAGAAUGCGGCCAGACCGGUCCAGGUCAACCUUACGAGGGCAACAUUCAAGAUCCAGAUCUUCGAGUUCUUCAACUGUCUGAAAAGGUAGCAGCCCUAACAGUGGACACUCACAACAAAGGUCACCCUCCCGUUCCAGGAGAUCCUCCCGUUCCAGGAGAUCUUCCCGUUCAAG
Molecule: long non-coding RNA, 485 nt
Organism: Ruditapes philippinarum (Manila clam)
Lineage: Eukaryota; Metazoa; Mollusca; Bivalvia; Venerida; Veneridae
Exons: 4
Source: RefSeq, a predicted model, not a curated record